GACGAACGCUGGCGGCGUGCUUAACACAUGCAAGUCGAGCGGUAAGGCCCUUUCGGGGGUACACGAGCGGCGAACGGGUGAGUAACACGUGGGUGACCUGCCCUUACGCUCUGGGAUAAGCCUGGGAAACUGGGUCUAAUACCGGAUAUGACUCCAUAACGCAUGUUGUGGGGUGGAAAGCCUUGUGCGGCUAGGGAUGGGCCCGCGGCCUAUCAGCUUGUUGGUGGGGUGAUGGCCACCAAGGCGACGACGGGUAGCCGGCCUGAGAGGGCGACCGGCCACACUGGGACUGAGACACGGCCCAGACUCCUACGGGAGGCAGCAGUGGGGAAUCUUGCGCAAUGGGCGAAAGCCUGACGCAGCGACGCCGCGU
Molecule: ribosomal RNA, 373 nt
Filed under: uncultured bacterium
Lineage: Bacteria
Description: bacterial SSU rRNA
Rfam family: Bacterial small subunit ribosomal RNA
Source: RNAcentral